CAUCGUUGAAUCUCGCCACCAAA
RNAcentral lists this small nuclear RNA (23 nucleotides) under Arabidopsis thaliana (thale cress). RNAcentral describes it as "snRNA_15636". Lineage: Eukaryota; Viridiplantae; Streptophyta; Magnoliopsida; Brassicales; Brassicaceae. The record is from RNAcentral.